AUUGAACGCUGGCGGCAUGCCUAACACAUGCAAGUCGAACGGCAGCACGGGCAUCGCCCUCGCUUCGAGUUGCCGACGGGCGGGUAAUUCAGCGGUACGUGGCCAGCUGUUUGGGCUAGCCCGGCAAAGGACGGAUUAAUACGCUAAUCCACCAUACGAUGUACGCGUGGGACCAAAAGGCCUCCCGCUAUUGGACGGGCCGAUGUCGGAUUAGCGAGUUGGUGGGGUAAAGGCGUACAAAGGCGACGAUCCGUAGCUGGUCUGAGAGGCCGAUCAGCCACACUGGAACUGAGACACGGCCCAGACUCCUACGGGAGGCAGCAGUGGGGAAUAUUGGACAAUGGGGGCAAGCCUGAUCCAGCCAUGCCGCGUGCGGGAAGAAGGCCUUCGGGUUGUAAAGCGCUUUUGUUGGGGAAGAAAAGCUGCAGGCUAAUACCCCGGGGGGCUGACGGUACCGAAAGAAUAAGCACCGGCUAACUACGUG
This 484-nucleotide ribosomal RNA is filed under the name uncultured bacterium. RNAcentral's name for it is "partial 16S ribosomal RNA". It matches the Rfam family "Bacterial small subunit ribosomal RNA", at positions 29 to 507 of the family's 1533-position model. The record is from RNAcentral.